Molecule: ribosomal RNA, 566 nt
Filed under: uncultured bacterium
Lineage: Bacteria
Description: bacterial SSU rRNA
Rfam family: Bacterial small subunit ribosomal RNA
Source: RNAcentral
ACGAUGGAUAGGGGUUCUGAGAGGAAGGUCCCCCACAUUGGUACUGAGACACGGACCAAACUCCUACGGGAGGCAGCAGUGAGGAAUAUUGGUCAAUGGGCGUAAGCCUGAACCAGCCAAGUCGCGUGAGGGAUGAAGGUUCUAUGGAUCGUAAACCUCUUUUAUAAGGGAAUAAAGUGUGGGACGUGUCCUAUUUUGUAUGUACCUUAUGAAUAAGGAUCGGCUAACUCCGUGCCAGCAGCCGCGGUAAUACGGAGGAUCCGAGCGUUAUCCGGAUUUAUUGGGUUUAAAGGGUGCGUAGGCGGCCUUUUAAGUCAGCGGUGAAAGUCUGUGGCUCAACCAUAGAAUUGCCGUUGAAACUGGGGGGCUUGAGUAUGUUUGAGGCAGGCGGAAUGCGUGGUGUAGCGGUGAAAUGCUUAGAUAUCACGCAGAACCCCGAUUGCGAAGGCAGCCUGCCAAGCCAUGACUGACGCUGAUGCACGAAAGCGUGGGGAUCAAACAGGAUUAGAUACCCUGGUAGUCCACGCAGUAAACGAUGAUCACUAGCUGUUUGCGAUACAGUGUAA